GACGAACGCUGGCGGCGUGCUUAACACAUGCAAGUCGAACGAACAGGCCCUGAUCUUGUUCGGUGCUCGUGUGGCGAACGGGUGAGUAACACGUGUGUAACCCGCCCUUGUCUUUGGGGUAAAUUUAGGAAAAAGGGGCUAUUAUCGGGUAGAAUCUAUUGAUCCACAGUGUGGAUUGGUAAGUUUCGGCGGUUGGGGCUGGACUGGCGGGUUAUCCGCUUGUUGGUGGGGUAGUGGCUUACCAAGGGUGUGAGGGGUAGCAGGCCUGGGAGGUGGACCGGGCACAUGGGGACUGAGGUAGGGCCCAGACGGCUACGUGAGGCAGCAGUGGGGAACAUUGCACAAUGGGCGGGAGCCAGAGGCGGCAACGCCGCGAUCGUGAAGACGUCCUUCUGGGGGAGAACCACUUUGUCCGGAGACGAAGCGUGAGUGACGGUAAUGGGUAAAGAAGCACCGGCUAACUACGUG
Molecule: ribosomal RNA, 468 nt
Filed under: uncultured bacterium
Lineage: Bacteria
Description: partial 16S ribosomal RNA
Rfam family: Bacterial small subunit ribosomal RNA
Source: RNAcentral